Molecule: ribosomal RNA, 248 nt
Filed under: uncultured Marvinbryantia sp.
Lineage: Bacteria; Bacillati; Bacillota; Clostridia; Lachnospirales; Lachnospiraceae
Description: partial 16S ribosomal RNA
Rfam family: Bacterial small subunit ribosomal RNA
Source: RNAcentral
UACGUAGGGGGCAAGCGUUAUCCGGAUUUACUGGGUGUAAAGGGAGCGUAGACGGUCUGGCAAGUCUGGUGUGAAAGGCUGGGGCUCAACCCCGGGACUGCAUUGGAAACUGUCAGACUUGAGUGCCGGAGAGGUAAGCGGAAUUCCUGGUGUAGCGGUGAAAUGCGUAGAUAUCAGGAGGAACACCAGUGGCGAAGGCGGCUUACUGGACGGUAACUGACGUUGAGGCUCGAAGGCGUGGGGAGCAA